Molecule: ribosomal RNA, 254 nt
Filed under: uncultured bacterium
Lineage: Bacteria
Description: partial 16S ribosomal RNA
Rfam family: Bacterial small subunit ribosomal RNA
Source: RNAcentral
UACGUAGGGUGCGAGCGUUUGUCCGGAAUUAUUGGGCGUAAAGAGCUUGUAGGCGGUUUGUCGCGUCUGCCGUGAAAAUUCGAGGCUCAACCUCGAACUUGCGGUGGGUACGGGCAGACUAGAGUGUGGUAGGGGAGACUGGAAUUCCUGGUGUAGCGGUGAAAUGCGCAGAUAUCAGGAGGAACACCGAUGGCGAAGGCAGGUCUCUGGGCCACUACUGACGCUGAGGAGCGAAAGCGUGGGGAGCGAACAGG